ACUCCUAAAAGAUAAUAGACAUCUAUUGGUCUUAGGAACCAAAAAUUCUUGGUGCAACUCCAAGUAAGAGUA
This 72-nucleotide transfer RNA is filed under the name Chimaera fulva (southern chimaera). Its description in RNAcentral is "tRNA-Leu". It matches the Rfam family "tRNA". From Rfam's summary of the family: Transfer RNA (tRNA) molecules are approximately 80 nucleotides in length. Their secondary structure includes four short double-helical elements and three loops (D, anti-codon, and T loops). The record is from RNAcentral. Lineage: Eukaryota; Metazoa; Chordata; Chondrichthyes; Chimaeriformes; Chimaeridae.